UGUGAUCAAAUAUGAACAAACAAUUGCUUGUAUUAUGAAAUCUAGCAUGUAAUCUGGAGCAUAAACCUUACUAGAGAGGGAAAAAUUAGAAGAACCAAGAAACCUCUACAAGUAAAAAUUUGUUCCAAGAAAUUCAUCUAUUGGAGCAUUAAAAAAAAACCAGAUUCAACCAACUCCAAGCCUAUGGAAGAGCCAAGGGAGACCAGUUGAUGCCAAGGAGAAGAUGGUUUGAUGCCCUUGUGAUUUUGACCAUUGACAAUCCUGUCAUCAAAAGUAUAAAUGCUAUCUACCAUCUCAAUCGAUGAUCGGCUAUCGAUGACUGCCAGCUGCAAAGGCGGAUACCACUACCUUAACUCCCUCCUUUGCUGAUAUCUCACCAUAUCCUUCUUACCGAAAAAUUUAUAAAGUCUUGUUCAAUGAUGGACUAUCUGCUCCUCCCUCCCACCGAUCCAAAAGGUUGAGCAGGCCUUCUUCUCCUUCUUGCUCAGUAUGGACAAAGCCUUCAUGAUUUGAUUACCACCCGACCUGAUGAACAGUAACCCUAAUUUAUAAAAUUGGGGGUUUUAAUGAUUUUGAUAACAACAAUGUCCAUAAUUAGUAUAAAACAUACCUAGUGUUUUUAGAGAGAAAUAAACUGGAGAGAGAAAUCAUGUUUGGAAGAGAGAAAUGAGGUUUGUGAGAAAAUUGUGCAGAUUUAUAUUUAUUAUAUACGAGGACAAAAAUGUCUAUUCUUCUAAUUUGAUUUGUUCUGUUGCUAUGGAGGAAACCGUGAUUUCUCAAACUUUAGAUGGAAAAUGAAAAACAGAACAAAGUAUAGGAGGUUUUUUGUAAUUAUCUUUUUAUUUUUUUUGUCUUUUCAUUCAAGUUCAUCCUCUGAGAAUAAUCUCAACAGUCUGAACUUAUGGUCAGGUGUAGGAUUGUUAAAUUGCUUGCAUUUUUCCUUUAUUCAUGCUUAUCUUUGUUAAUGAUUUGGUUCACAUCACUGAUUUCAUUUUUCUGCAGUUAUGGCUCAUUCUUUGGCCCUUCUCAGCCAGUUAUUGCUCAAAGAGUCAUUACUAGAAAACCAACAUUUGGAUCUCAGAGUUUCAAACUCCCAGCAUGCUGUAUGUACCAUAAACCUUUUGGUUUUGCUGAAUCUCGUGAGAUGUGCAUGAUGCAGAUUUGAUCUUCAUAUAACACUCUUAUUUACAUGCAUGUUUGUGGAGCUUUGUGACAUCUGAUUAAAAAUUGGUGAAAUCUCAGGUGCCUAAUUUUGCUUAUUCUUAUCAAGGUUGCUCUAAGGUUUGCAAUUUACAAAUAGAUAAUUUUCCCUACUCAUGGUGUGUGCUAGCCCCACAGGUAGCGAUAUGGAACUGCUUUUAUUAGAAAAGGGUGUCUCUGAUACUAGAAAUUUAGUAUAUUACUAUACUAUUAUUUUUGGAACCAGUUCAAUUACUGUAACAUCUUGAGUUUUCUAGGAAUGUCAAUUUGGUUAACUUAGUUUUUUCAUGAAAAGAAUGGCAAACUUACAACUUGAAAUGCACCUUGGUAUUGAGUGAAAUGAAUAUUUUGACAGAAAAUCCAUAACCUUGAUAGUAUCCGUGUGAUCUAAUCUGAAAUUUUGUGUCAUGGUUUGUGUGGUUUGUUCUCUUAGCUUUUUGGUUGUGGGUUUUGUUGAUUUGAGACUGCUUUUCUUUAGUGAUCUGCAACUGCAAGUGCUGUUGUGAAUUUGACUUGUUACCAUGUUGGAGUGAAGAUGCUGCAAACAGCGGCUAAUAUAUUUCAGAUGGAGAUCUUACCUUUGCAAUCUUGUUUGCUGUUGCAGAACAAAAGGAACUCCUCUUCAACUGCCACAGGUUCCAAAAAUGGAGGACAUAGACAUGUAC
RNAcentral lists this long non-coding RNA (1865 nucleotides) under Populus tremula. RNAcentral's name for it is "long non-coding RNA (PTRE_LNC002341)". Lineage: Eukaryota; Viridiplantae; Streptophyta; Magnoliopsida; Malpighiales; Salicaceae. The record is from RNAcentral.